CCGGUGAAGUGUUCGGAUCGCUGCGAUUCGGGCGGUUCGCCGCCCGCGACCUGGCGAGAAGUCCAUUGAACCUUAUCAUUUAGAGGAAGGAGAAGUCGUAACAAGGUUUCCGUAGGUGAACCUGCGGAAGGAUCAUUG
RNAcentral lists this ribosomal RNA (138 nucleotides) under Trichopilia maculata. RNAcentral's name for it is "partial 18S ribosomal RNA". It matches the Rfam family "Eukaryotic small subunit ribosomal RNA", at positions 1698 to 1831 of the family's 1831-position model. Lineage: Eukaryota; Viridiplantae; Streptophyta; Magnoliopsida; Asparagales; Orchidaceae. The record is from RNAcentral.